UACGGAGGGGGCAAGCGUUGUUCGGAUUUACUGGGCGUAAAGCGACCGCAGGCGGUCUAUCAAGUCAGAUGUGAAAGCCCUGGGCUCAACCCGGGAAUUGCAUUUGAAACUGGCAGACUAGAGUCAUGGAGAGGUAAGUGGAAUUACCAGUGUAGAGGUGAAAUUCGUAGAUAUUGGUAGGAACACCAGAGGCGAAGGCGACUUACUGGCCAUGUACUGACGCUAAGGGUCGAAAGCGUGGGGAGCAAACAGG
Molecule: ribosomal RNA, 253 nt
Filed under: uncultured bacterium
Lineage: Bacteria
Description: partial 16S ribosomal RNA
Rfam family: Bacterial small subunit ribosomal RNA
Source: RNAcentral